AUGCGCGGCUCGCACGUGCUCCUGCUACUGGUGGCCUGCUCUUCAUUCCACUGUCACCUCGCCGCCCGCCAUGGCCCGGGGCACGCGCCUGCAGCCGUCGCCGUCGUAGGCUCCGUCCGCCCUGACGACGCGGCCAUGGAUGCUGCUUCUUCAGGCGCCCCGGCCGCCGUCCGGUGCCACGAUGGGACCGUCUGCGGCGAGAAGGGUUUGUUUUUCCCGCCGAUUCCGCUCGUGCCGGAGCCGCCGAACAUUGGAGGCGUGCCCAUCCCGCCGAACCCGAUCAUGCCGGCGCCGCCGUCGCUCGUCCCGCCGGUGUUCCCCGCCCCGUCACCACCGUCCAUCCUGCCGCCGCUCGUCCCGCAGCCGCCGCCUGCUUCGCUGAUACCGCCGGUGCUGCCGUUGCCGUUCCUUCACCCACCGCCUCCGCCGCCGCCGCCGCCGUCCAUCCUACCGCCGUUGCCCCUCCUCCCGCCGUUGAUCCCUGGCGUGCCGCCAGCUUCCUCCUCGAAGAACGGCCGACCGGUGAAACCAUGA
RNAcentral lists this ribosomal RNA (534 nucleotides) under Triticum aestivum (bread wheat). RNAcentral describes it as "partial small subunit ribosomal RNA". The record is from RNAcentral. Lineage: Eukaryota; Viridiplantae; Streptophyta; Magnoliopsida; Poales; Poaceae.